RNAcentral lists this ribosomal RNA (287 nucleotides) under Enterobacter ludwigii. RNAcentral describes it as "partial 23S ribosomal RNA". It matches the Rfam family "Bacterial large subunit ribosomal RNA", at positions 1241 to 1531 of the family's 2925-position model. Lineage: Bacteria; Pseudomonadati; Pseudomonadota; Gammaproteobacteria; Enterobacterales; Enterobacteriaceae. The record is from RNAcentral.
CUGUAAGCCGUUGAAGGUGUCCUGUGAGGGGUGCUGGAGGUAUCAGAAGUGCGAAUGCUGACAUAAGUAACGAUAAAGCGGGUGAAAAGCCCGCUCGCCGGAAGACCAAGGGUUCCUGUCCAACGUUAAUCGGGGCAGGGUGAGUCGACCCCUAAGGCGAGGCCGAAAGGCGUAGUCGAUGGGAAACAGGUUAAUAUUCCUGUACUUGGUGUUACUGCGAAGGGGGGACGGAGAAGGCUAUGUUAGCCGGGCGACGGUUGUCCCGGUUUAAGCAUGUAGGCGGAGGU